This 138-nucleotide small RNA is filed under the name Klebsiella variicola. RNAcentral describes it as "RtT sRNA". It matches the Rfam family "RtT RNA". From Rfam's summary of the family: This family represents a bacterial cis-regulatory element known as RtT RNA. The exact function of RtT is unknown although it is thought that it may be involved in changing the cellular response in relation to amino acid starvation. The record is from RNAcentral. Lineage: Bacteria; Pseudomonadati; Pseudomonadota; Gammaproteobacteria; Enterobacterales; Enterobacteriaceae.
UUAUAUUCUCCACUGGGGGGGAUGAGAACCCCCGACCGGGGUUCGACAACUGACAACGCCAGUUGGACAGACCGCGAGCCUGCGAGCGGGCUGCCCCGCAGGGGCGAGCGAAGCGAGUCAAUCCCCCCCUCACCGCCA